AAUUAAUAAUUUACAGCCUGUUCCACGAUAUCGAAAGAACACGUUCGCACAACUUUUACACGACAAACAGCUGAUUUCCGUUCCACUAAAAUCCAUCAGAACGAAAAUUUGCACGAAAAUCAAAGCGAACGUAAACGUAAGCAUUUCAGUGUAAUUUUGCGUUCCACUAUCUUUUUUCUUUCGUUCGCAUGCGAACACAAAUGUCAAAAUCAGUCACUUGUGUCUUUGCUGUCGUAUGAUAACAAUUAAGGAAAAUUGUUUUAACAUAAGCAUUGCUUGAUUGAAAAUGGAAACAAAAAUCACGAAAAAAUCAACUACACAGCUGCGGGCACUAGUUGAGUAUAUGUAGGAGAAUCCUGAGUUCGCCAGAGGAGUGCCAAUUUUUGGAAGCAGCAUCAUAUCCAUCAUAUCCAAAAGAGCCCGAAAAACUUCCUUCGACACACGAAAAUUGGCCACAAACCUAGUAAAAAUCAUUGGUUAUUAUUUCAAAAAUGUAAAAAUACAAUCAUACUUACUGGUUGUUAGGUACUUCAAAUAAAUUCGAAGAAUCUCUUAAA
Molecule: long non-coding RNA, 557 nt
Organism: Musca domestica (house fly)
Lineage: Eukaryota; Metazoa; Arthropoda; Insecta; Diptera; Muscidae
Exons: 2
Source: RefSeq, a predicted model, not a curated record